RNAcentral lists this ribosomal RNA (498 nucleotides) under uncultured bacterium. RNAcentral's name for it is "partial 16S ribosomal RNA". It matches the Rfam family "Bacterial small subunit ribosomal RNA", at positions 28 to 508 of the family's 1533-position model. The record is from RNAcentral.
GAUGAACGCUGGCGGCGUGCCUAAUACAUGCAAGUCGAGCGAACAGACGAGGAGCUUGCUCCUCUGACGUUAGCGGCGGACGGGUGAGUAACACGUGGAUAACCUACCUAUAAGACUGGGAUAACUUCGGGAAACCGGAGCUAAUACCGGAUAAUAUAUUGAACCGCAUGGUUCAAUAGUGAAAGACGAUUUUGCUGUCACUUAUAGAUGGAUCCGCGCCGCAUUAGCUAGUUGGUAAGGUAACGGCUUACCAAGGCAACGAUGCGUAGCCGACCUGAGAGGGGGGUCCGCCACCCCGGGAACGGGCACCCGUCCCGGACCCCUCGGGGGGCAGCAGUGAGGAAUUCUCCCGCAAGGGGCAAAGGCCGACCGGGGCAGCCCCGGUGGAGUAAGAAAGGUCUUCGUACCUAAAACCUUUUUUAUGAGGAAAAAACAAUUGUGUAAGAAACUAUGCCCGUUUUAAGGUUCCCAAAUAAGAAGCCCACGCCAAACUCCGGC